CCCCUAGAUGUUCUGGGCCGCACGCGUGCUACACUGAACGGUUCAAUGGGUAAGGUAGUGCGAAAGCAUGACCUAAUCUCGAAAUCCGUUCGUGCUGGGGAUAGAAGCUUGCAAUUAUCCUUCUUGAACGAGGAAUACCUUGUAAGCGUGAGUCAUCAUCUCACGCUGAAUACGUCCCUGCCCUUUGUACACACCGCCCGUCGCUCCUACCGAUUGAGUGUUCCGGUGAGGCUUUGGGAGAAUGGCCUCAACAUGAGUUUAUCGUGUUUUGCCGUUUGAACUUAGUCAAACCUUAUCACUUAGAGGAAGGAGAAGUCGUAACA
This 323-nucleotide ribosomal RNA is filed under the name uncultured eukaryote. RNAcentral's name for it is "partial 18S ribosomal RNA". It matches the Rfam family "Eukaryotic small subunit ribosomal RNA", at positions 1470 to 1796 of the family's 1831-position model. The record is from RNAcentral.